Long non-coding RNA from Marmota monax (woodchuck), 586 nucleotides. RefSeq lists it as uncharacterized. The record is from RefSeq and is a predicted model, not a curated record. NCBI's taxonomy places the organism in Eukaryota, Metazoa, Chordata, Mammalia, Rodentia, Sciuridae. The transcript is spliced from 2 exons.
AGGGGCCGGGGCGGGAGCGGUCCCCGCCGGGUCACUGCGGCUCCCGUCUCCCCUCCUCCCCUCCCCGCCCGCUCCCUCGCGCUCCCCUCCCCGCAGCCGGAGUCGAGUCGGCCGGGCCGCGGGGAGAGGUUCGCGGCGGCAGACAAAGCCCGCAGCCGCGAUGGGGGGAGGACCGGCCUCGGCGCUCCGUGGGCCCGGAGGGGGUGCGGGCUGGGCGUGGGCCCUUGGCAGAGAAUGGGGCUCCCCAUCCUUAAGCAGCAGACUGCCCCCUCCCGCCCCUCGGCCCCCCUGUCCCGGAGAUCUCAGAGGCGCCGGCUGGGAGCCAACGAUUCCAGCCCUGGCUACAACUUUCUUCACCUGACUUUUCAAGCAGGAGCCUGUAGUUGGACAAGGAGCCUGCCUACUACCUGUGACCGCCUGCAGAUUCCCUAGCACCUCGGAACCUGUUUCCCUACCUAUAAAAUGAAGAUAAUGGUAGCAAUUACCUCAUGGGAUUGUUGUACAAUUAGUGGGGAAAAGCAUUUAAAGUACUGACAUAGCAGCGUCUAGUACACAGAAAGUGCUUAAUAAAUGUUGGUUGUUAUUA